CUUAGCACUUGGUCCCACUGGGCAUGGGCUGUAAGCCCUUUGAAGAAAAACUAUGCAGUGUGUGGCUGCACGGGGAUCUGACCUCUGAGCCCUGCAAUGAAGCCAUCCAGCCAGCAAUCGCACAAAGACUCUCCUCCGGGAGGGUCUUUCCUUCCAUAAGCUUCCAAGCCAAUGGGACGACCUCAUUUUCAAGCCCAUAUUUGUUCCGGACAGAUUAAUACCACAGACACUGAAGAGUCUUAAAAAUUUUCAUCUCAGGAGGAGAUGAAGGAGGACUUUGAGGAAGAUUUGAAGUAACGUGAGCCAACGGGCACAUCCAGGGCAAUGGCA
Molecule: non-coding RNA, 330 nt
Organism: Microcebus murinus (gray mouse lemur)
Lineage: Eukaryota; Metazoa; Chordata; Mammalia; Primates; Cheirogaleidae
Source: RefSeq, a predicted model, not a curated record